AUUAAUUUGAGAGUUUGAUCCUGGCUCAGGACGAACGCUGGCGGCGUGCCUAAUACAUGCAAGUCGAACGAACUCUGGUAUUGAUUGGUGCUUGCAUCAUGAUUUACAUUUGAGUGAGUGGCGAACUGGUGAGUAACACGUGGGAAACCUGCCCAGAAGCGGGGGAUAACACCUGGAAACAGAUGCUAAUACCGCAUAACAACUUGGACCGCAUGGUCCGAGUUUGAAAGAUGGCUUCGGCUAUCACUUUUGGAUGGUCCCGCGGCGUAUUAGCUAGAUGGUGGGGUAACGGCUCACCAUGGCAAUGAUACGUAGCCGACCUGAGAGGGUAAUCGGCCACAUUGGGACUGAGACACGGCCCAAACUCCUACGGGAGGCAGCAGUAGGGAAUCUUCCACAAUGGACGAAAGUCUGAUGGAGCAACGCCGCGUGAGUGAAGAAGGGUUUCGGCUCGUAAAACUCUGUUGUU
This 469-nucleotide ribosomal RNA is filed under the name Lactiplantibacillus plantarum. RNAcentral's name for it is "bacterial SSU rRNA". It matches the Rfam family "Bacterial small subunit ribosomal RNA", at positions 1 to 440 of the family's 1533-position model. The record is from RNAcentral. Lineage: Bacteria; Bacillati; Bacillota; Bacilli; Lactobacillales; Lactobacillaceae.